CCUUUCAGGUCAUCCGGAAAUUUCGAAGUGUCUUCAUCAAACAGCAGACAAUGAGAACCUUUCCAGUGUAUGGUGCAGGGGUGCCUGGGGCAGAAAACGGGGGUAUUUUAGAACCUAGCAUGGCUUUGAAAAAGAGAGCCAACUGGAUUCCUUUUAUAAAGAUUAAGCCCAAACAAGAUCCCUGGCAGCAAAAGCUUUUGGCAAAACUGAAACAAUGGAAAAAAGUAGAUGAACUAUUGCAUCUUCAAUCAAAGUUUUUAGAGGUUUCUGACAUGGAGCAAGUGAUUGAAGUUCUCCAGGAGCAUGCGACAGAAGUGUUAGAGCCAAGUCCAGUGCGAUCAAGUUUUGUGACUUCUCACAGCUCAAGACAGCAUAACUAUGAUCGAAUCUGGGAGAGAAUUUAUAGCAACUCAGAGCUCCAGCAGGAUCAAAACACAGAGGAUAAUAAUCCUGCUGUGGCUAUGAAUGAGAAGGGUAUGGAAACUAUCAGUCUCAGCAACAAUCCAGCAUCUUCCAGGAAGAAGAAAGAAAG
RNAcentral lists this long non-coding RNA (532 nucleotides) under Gopherus agassizii (Agassiz's desert tortoise). Its description in RNAcentral is "lncRNA (ENSGAGG00000013938.1)". Lineage: Eukaryota; Metazoa; Chordata; Testudines; Testudinidae. The record is from RNAcentral.